Molecule: long non-coding RNA, 461 nt
Filed under: Saimiri boliviensis boliviensis (Bolivian squirrel monkey)
Lineage: Eukaryota; Metazoa; Chordata; Mammalia; Primates; Cebidae
Description: lncRNA (ENSSBOG00000036538.1)
Source: RNAcentral
GCCAUGUCUGAAAUGUCAUUCGAUUCCUUUAUACUUCUCAGGAGCAGUUAAUCAUGAAAGCUCUACCACUUGGUGGGAAGGAAGAUGGUCUAUUCUUCUGCCCAACGGAGGCCGCGUUGAGUCCUUGAUUGGGCAUGCCAUGGCAUCUGCAGUGUACCUCGUGCUGCUGGGUGGCUCGGGACGGGGUAGUUGCCAUGGGAGGCCCACUGCCUGCUGGAAGGAAGAUGGUCGAUUCUUGUGAGCCACAAACGCCCUGCAGAGUCCUGGAGUCGGUGUGGCCUGGCUUCCGUGGGGCACCUUGUGCUGGUGGAUGGCUCAGGCCGGGCCAGUUGCCGUGGGAGGCCCACCUCCUGCUGACAAGGAAGAUGGUUGAUUCUUCAGUCAGCUUAGGGCCCCUGGAGUCCUUGAUUGGGCAUGGCCUGGCAGUUACGGUGCACCCUGUUCUGGAGCAGUUUUCAUGA